AUGUGAUAUGAUCGACUGCAUUGAAGCAAUAAUAUGGCGGCCGCAAGCUACAGUGGGCCGAACGUCAUAAUAUUACAAUGAGAAAACAAGACAUAUCGCGUAAAGGAGUAUUCACGUAUUAAAAUCGUAGCUAAACGAAAUGCUUUCUUAGCGAUGACACUGCCAACAGAGCAUUUUAGACGGCACGACAAAUUCCGUUGAAAUAUCUCUAGAAACCGACAGGGAACGGAAUAAUGAGUUCUUCUAUUGCAGAACUUAUAACAGAAUAUUUCUAACGCUGACAGAAGAUCGAAGAAACGAAUUGAUUCUCCGGCGAAUGGAGUUUUUUCAAUGUGAAAAAUCACAUCUGUAAAGUCUCUGUGGCCAAAUGCAUUACAAGUUGAAGAAACUUUUAAGCUAAACUUUUAACAUUUUCAUUGUUGAAAAUAAGUAAAGAUGAGUAGAAUCGAAAGCAGUUCGGAUAAUGGGAAUGGCUGGCAUGAAUGUGCCAAAUGGCUGACUAGAUGCGGAGCUUUGAGAGCGGAUCAUAAAGCAAACUGGCCAGAAGCAACUGCAGUUGAUUUAGCCUAUACUUUGAGAGAUGGUGUAUUGCUAUGUAAUCUCUUGAGUACCGUGUAUCCUGAAUCCAUAGAGAUGAAAGAUGUCAAUCAGAAACCACAGCUGGCACAAUUCUUAUGUUUAAGGAACAUAAAACUAUUUUUGGCAGCAUGCUCAGCAUUUUAUGGCCUAUCGAAUUCCGACCUGUUUGAGCCUUCCAUGUUGUUUGAUCUAUCAAAUUUUCAUCGUGUAUUAUGCACAUUAUCUGUGUUAUCUAAUUGUCCACGGCUAAGGCAGAAAAAUAUUCCCGGCUUUUUCAUUGGUCACGGUAGAUCGCAAGAAGACAUAUAUAAGGACUUACAAAGUGCCGGUGCUGGCCGCGUAGGUGAAGGUCGCCGCAGAAGGUUUAGAAGACGCGAAGGAGAUGAAGCAGGUGGAGGAGGGGACAAUGAAGAUCCAGUUGGAGAGGAGGAUGAUUAUGGAGCAUAUUGCAGUCAUGCUCAAAGCGAAGAGAUCUACCAGGACCUUUGUAGUCUGCACUUGCCACCUCCUCCAUCUGUUGCGCAGGAUGGCAUAAUUCCUGGAGGUGGGAAAAGCGAUUACGUGAUUCAAGAACUCGUUGAAACUGAACGGAACUACUCGGACGUCCUUAAUAGUUUGCUCAGGCAUUUUGCUAGACCACUUUCAUCCACGCUACGACCGGAAGAUUCGGCACGGAUAUUUUUUGGCAUUAAAGAACUCGCAGAAAUCCAUGCUGGUUUUCACAGUCAGCUUCGGAAGGCAAGAGCUGGCGUUACUUUAGCACAGGUUUUCCUUGAUUGGCGAGAAAAGUUCCUUAUAUACGGUGAUUAUUGCGCAAAUCUUACACUUGCACAAAACACAUUACAAGAAGUUUGUGCCCAUAAUGAGUUAGUUAAUCAAGAAGUUAUUAGAUGCCAACAAGAAGCUAAUAAUGGUAAAUUCAAGCUGCGGGAUAUACUCUCCGUUCCUAUGCAAAGAAUUUUGAAAUAUCAUUUAUUAUUAGAUAAAUUAGUAGAAGAAACUCCUUGCGAAUGGGUAAAAGAUCGACAAUAUCUCGGAGAAGCUAGAGAAGUUAUGGUGGAUAUAGCUCAAUAUAUUAAUGAAGUGAAACGUGACUCGGACACGUUAGACAUUAUAAAAGAUGUCCAGGCAUCGAUAAUUGAUUGGGAUGUCCCGGAGGACGCACAAUUAAAAGAUUUUGGCCGAUUGUUAAGAGAUGGAGAACUUAAGGUGAAAGCUCACGGUGACCAACGAACAAGGGUUCGUUACGCAUUUGUCUUCGAACAAGUAGUAUUAAUUUGUAAAGCGGGUAGAGGAGAACAAUAUUUAUACCGUGAAACUUUACGGCUAGAUGAAUAUAGAUUGGAAGACCCUACAGGAAGACGAACCCUUGGCAAAGAUAUCCGAUGGACUUAUCAAUGGAUGCUUGUCCAUAAACAAGAAUACACAGCGUACACUUUGUACGCCAAAACAGAAGAACAGAAAAAGAUGUGGAUUAAAGCGUUAGAGGAUGCAAUGGAUAAUGUUAAUCCUGCAGCGUGCCGUAACACUAACCACAAGUUUAAACUUACAACUUUCGAGGGCGCUCUUAGUUGUCAGUAUUGCAAGAAGUUCUUGAAAGGCCGUAUAUUUCAGGGGUAUCGGUGUGAAGUUUGCCGCUUCGCUGUACACAAACAAUGUAUUGCACACUCGGGUCGAUGUAUGCCGGUACCGCCGCCACCUCCGCCACCGCCGCCUUUGCCCUGCGAACGUGCUCUUUCAAUGAGAUUAUGGUUCGUAGGAGAAAUGGGACGGGACACAGCUUCGAAUAAAUUGGAACAACGCAAAGACGGCACAUACAUGUUGCGAGUACGGCCUGCCGGACAAUCACGGCAAAAGCAUGAAACUAAUUACGCUCUUAGUAUCAAGGCAGAUGGAGCGGUGAAACAUAUAAGGGUAUUUAAACGCAACGUUGACGGAGCUGAUCUGUAUUAUCUCAGUGAAUCUCGGUUUUUUAAAAGUGUAGUCGAGCUUGUCGAAUAUUACGAACGGGUAUCAUUAUCGGAGAAUUUUGAGAGAUUAGAUCAACGCUUGUUAUGGCCGUACAGGCGUGUAUUGGCAACGGCACUAUUCGAUUUUCAUGCAGAGGAACGUAAUCAAUUGAGCCUACAGCGAGGUUGUACAGUCGUAGUAUUGAGUAAAGAAGGCGAUGCCAAAGGAUGGUGGAAAGGGAAAAUAGACGAUCACGUAGGAUUUUUUCCAAAGGAUUAUGUCGAAGAACAAUAAGCAUAAAUUAUAUUGCUUAGGUACUUUUUCGAUGUGAUGGCACGGACGAUUAAGGAUAAUAUUUCACAUAUUAAUCGCAUCAUCGUGCAAUCAUAAUACUUUUAUUAAAAUGCCCCUCAGCAGAGAACAAAAGAAAUGUAACACAUUUUUACAUUGUAUAAAAUAGAAGUAAAUUCACUCACGCAUCGAUAUCAUUAUAAAAAAUACAGUUUUAUUUUGUUGUUCUCUUGACUCGAGGUUGUGCUGUAUCACAGUUAUAUAAAUAGAAAGUACACGUGCGUGUAUGAGAAUCGAGCGUAUAAAAACAAAUAUAUUUAGCGACUUGUAUAAACAAGAAGAAUUCAUUAUUUUUCAGUACGAUAUGGCGAUAUCAAAAAAUUUUAGAAAAAGAUGAUUCAUAAAGAUCAAAGUUGUCUAUCUUUGUAUAUUAGAAUCAUACGAAAAUAUUAUAUUAUCAAAUGUUCAUAAUUUUAGACAACUUUCUCUUUAUGACUAUAUUUUAAAGUCAAUUGCCAAGCCUCAAUUGUAUAUAGUGUAAUUCUUUAUUGUUAGCAAUGCAAAUUUUAACCAUUUCUUAGAUAUAUACAAUAUAAAUACACGACUAUCGCUACACGCAUUAUAGUAACAAAUUAAUUGUACUAUUUUUUUAACUGUUACACGUAUUUUCUGAUUGUGCCAAUGAAAAUAAUCAAUAAAAUUUAGUCCUUAUUCAGAUGUUAAUCUAAAACAAAUACUGCUUGUGUACUCCUAUAAUUCACUUUUUAUAGUUUUUUUCCUCUCAUUAUAUAUAAUAGUAGCCACUUUUUGCUCUAAUCUUUUACAACCAGCUGUUGCAUAAAGAUUAUGAGGAGGAGGUCCAAAAAUUGUAUAAGAUAAUGCUGCCUGUAUCAUAUCCUCACUUGGUGAAACGUUUCUAACUGUGAAAGCUUUGACUAAGCAUUGUUUUAUAUGUGUUUCUUCUAGUGGCAAAAAAGGAACAUAAUGGUCUAUGAGUUUAAUUCCAGUCCUAUAAUUAAAGAUAUACCUUAUAGAGUUCUACAUCUUGUUGCAAAGGAAAAUCAUUACGACCAUUGAAAAAAUGGUAAAACCGACUUUUAUCACCUUUCAUAUAAAAUGAUUUUGCAAUCAUCUGUGUCACGUAUGUUUUACCAGUUCCUGGGGGACCGUGAAAGCUCAUAACCAAAGCUUUUGGAGGAUCAAAUCGGCUUAAAUGUCCACGUAAAGCACUUAUUAUCACAUGGUGAGCAAUGUCUUGCCCAUAAAGAUUUGUAGUGAGAAGAUCUUCUAAUUCUAGAAAUAAAUAUACAAUCGUAACAUAUGUAAUUACUAAACAAAUGCGCUUUAUAAUAUUUCAUUUUCUAAUUUUACAUACUCACUGUCAAUAUCAGGAGAAACA
This is a non-coding RNA of Nomia melanderi (Alkali bee), 4219 nucleotides long. NCBI's taxonomy places the organism in Eukaryota, Metazoa, Arthropoda, Insecta, Hymenoptera, Halictidae. The record is from RefSeq and is a predicted model, not a curated record.